Molecule: ribosomal RNA, 2903 nt
Filed under: Salmonella enterica
Lineage: Bacteria; Pseudomonadati; Pseudomonadota; Gammaproteobacteria; Enterobacterales; Enterobacteriaceae
Description: bacterial LSU rRNA
Rfam family: Bacterial large subunit ribosomal RNA
Source: RNAcentral
UUAAGCGACCAAGCGUACACGGUGGAUGCCCUGGCAGUCAGAGGCGAUGAAGGACGUGCUAAUCUGCGAAAAGCGCCGGUAAGGUGAUAUGAACCGUUAUAACCGGCGAUGUCCGAAUGGGGAAACCCAGUGUGACUCGUCACACUAUCAUUAACUGAAUCCAUAGGUUAAUGAGGCGAACCGGGGGAACUGAAACAUCUAAGUACCCCGAGGAAAAGAAAUCAACCGAGAUUCCCCCAGUAGCGGCGAGCGAACGGGGAGGAGCCCAGAGCCUGAAUCAGCAUAUGUGUUAGUGGAAGCGUCUGGAAAGGCGCGCGAUACAGGGUGACAGCCCCGUACACAAAAGCGCAUGUGCUGUGAGCUCGAUGAGUAGGGCGGGACACGUGGUAUCCUGUCUGAAUAUGGGGGGACCAUCCUCCAAGGCUAAAUACUCCUGACUGACCGAUAGUGAACCAGUACCGUGAGGGAAAGGCGAAAAGAACCCCGGCGAGGGGAGUGAAACAGAACCUGAAACCGUGUACGUACAAGCAGUGGGAGCAUGAGUUUACUCAUGUGACUGCGUACCUUUUGUAUAAUGGGUCAGCGACUUAUAUUCUGUAGCAAGGUUAACCGUAUAGGGGAGCCGGAGGGAAACCGAGUCUUAAUUGGGCGUUAAGUUGCAGGGUAUAGACCCGAAACCCGGUGAUCUAGCCAUGGGCAGGUUGAAGGUUGGGUAACACUAACUGGAGGACCGAACCGACUAAUGUUGAAAAAUUAGCGGAUGACCUGUGGCUGGGGGUGAAAGGCCAAUCAAACCGGGAGAUAGCUGGUUCUCCCCGAAAGCUAUUUAGGUAGCGCCUCGUGAAUUCAUCUCCGGGGGUAGAGCACUGUUUCGGCCAGGGGGCCAUCCCGGCUUACCAACCCGAUGCAAACUGCGAAUACCGGAGAAUGUUAUCACGGGAGACACACGGCGGGUGCUAACGUCCGUCGUGAAGAGGGAAACAACCCAGACCGCCAGCUAAGGUCCCAAAGUCAUGGUUAAGUGGGAAACGAUGUGGGAAGGCCCAGACAGCCAGGAUGUUGGCUUAGAAGCAGCCAUCAUUUAAAGAAAGCGUAAUAGCUCACUGGUCGAGUCGGCCUGCGCGGAAGAUGUAACGGGGCUAAACCAUGCACCGAAGCUGCGGCAGCGACACUGUGUGUUGUUGGGUAGGGGAGCGUUCUGUAAGCCUGCGAAGGUGGCCUGUGAGGGUUGCUGGAGGUAUCAGAAGUGCGAAUGCUGACAUAAGUAACGAUAAUGCGGGUGAAAAACCCGCACGCCGGAAGACCAAGGGUUCCUGUCCAACGUUAAUCGGGGCAGGGUGAGUCGACCCCUAAGGCGAGGCCGAAAGGCGUAGUCGAUGGGAAACGGGUUAAUAUUCCCGUACCUGGUGUUACUGCGAAGGGGGGACGGAGAAGGCUAUGUUGGCCGGGCGACGGUUGUCCCGGUUUAAGCGUGUAGGCUGGUUUUCCAGGCAAAUCCGGAAAAUCAAGGCUGAGGCGUGACGACGAGGCACUACGGUGCUGAAGCAACAAAUGCCCUGCUUCCAGGAAAAGCCUCUAAGCCUCAGGUAACAUCAGAUCGUACCCGAAACCGACACAGGUGGUCAGGUAGAGAAUACCAAGGCGCUUGAGAGAACCCGGGUGAAGGAACUAGGCAAAAUGGUGCCGUAACUUCGGGAGAAGGCACGCUGACACGUAGGUGAAGCGGUUUACCCGUGGAGCUGAAGUCAGUCGAAGAUACCAGCUGGCUGCAACUGUUUAUUAAAAACACAGCACUGUGCAAACACGAAAGUGGACGUAUACGGUGUGACGCCUGCCCGGUGCCGGAAGGUUAAUUGAUGGGGUCAGCGCAAGCGAAGCUCCUGAUCGAAGCCCCGGUAAACGGCGGCCGUAACUAUAACGGUCCUAAGGUAGCGAAAUUCCUUGUCGGGUAAGUUCCGACCUGCACGAAUGGCGUAAUGAUGGCCAGGCUGUCUCCACCCGGGACUCAGUGAAAUUGAACUCGCUGUGAAGAUGCAGUGUACCCGCGGCAAGACGGAAAGACCCCGUGAACCUUUACUAUAGCUUGACACUGAACACUGGUCCUUGAUGUGCAGGAUAGGUGGGAGGCUUUGAAGUGUGGACGCCAGUCUGCAUGGAGCCGUCCUUGAAAUACCACCCUUUAAUGGCUGGUGUUCUAACGUAGACCCGUGAACCGGGUUGCGGACAGUGUCUGGUGGGUAGUUUGACUGGGGCGGUCUCCUCCUAAAGCGUAACGGAGGAGCACGAAGGUUGGCUAAUCCUGGUCGGACAUCAGGAGGUUAGUGCAAUGGCAUAAGCCAGCUUGACUGCGAGCGUGACGGCGCGAGCAGGUGCGAAAGCAGGUCAUAGUGAUCCGGUGGUUCUGAAUGGAAGGGCCAUCGCUCAACGGAUAAAAGGUACUCCGGGGAUAACAGGCUGAUACCGCCCAAGAGUUCAUAUCGACGGCGGUGUUUGGCACCUCGAUGUCGGCUCAUCACAUCCUGGGGCUGAAGUAGGUCCCAAGGGUAUGGCUGUUCGCCAUUUAAAGUGGUACGCGAGCUGGGUUUAGAACGUCGUGAGACAGUUCGGUCCCUAUCUGCCGUGGGCGCUGGAGAACUGAGGGGGGCUGCUCCUAGUACGAGAGGACCGGAGUGGACGCAUCACUGGUGUUCGGGUUGUCAUGCCAAUGGCACUGCCCGGUAGCUAAAUGCGGAAGAGAUAAGUGCUGAAAGCAUCUAAGCACGAAACUUGCCCCGAGAUGAGUUCUCCCUGAGACUACAAGUCUCCUGAAGGAACGUUGAAGACGACGACGUUGAUAGGCCGGGUGUGUAAGCGCAGCGAUGCGUUGAGCUAACCGGUACUAAUGAACCGUGAGGCUUAACCUU